Molecule: transfer RNA, 398 nt
Filed under: uncultured Microcystis sp.
Lineage: Bacteria; Bacillati; Cyanobacteriota; Cyanophyceae; Chroococcales; Microcystaceae
Description: partial contains 16S-23S ribosomal RNA intergenic spacer, and 23S ribosomal RNA
Rfam family: tRNA (bases 135-208)
Source: RNAcentral
AAGGGAGACCUAAUUCAGGUAGGAGACGAAAAAAAAGUAGUCCCUACCAGGAAUCAAUCCCAAAAGGUCGGAGCGAGGCGAAAUUGGCUUUCAAACUAGGUUCUGGGUUCAAACAAGACCUGAAUCAGGAACAAGGGCUAUUAGCUCAGGUGGUUAGAGCGCACCCCUGAUAAGGGUGAGGUCCCUGGUUCGAGUCCAGGAUGGCCCACCUGCACAGGUGGCAAAAACAAGAGAAGCGAGGAAUCAGCACCUUAUCUUACUGACAUAGUAAGAGAGAAUGCUGGCUCUGAGUAAAGAGUCCAGAGGAACCUUGAAAACUGCAUAGAGCUAGGUGAAAAAGCCAAAAAAGAAGACCGCAAGGUCAAGCUAAUGAGGGCUAACGGUGGAUACCUAGGCAC